Arachis ipaensis is the source of this 369-nucleotide non-coding RNA. The record is from RefSeq and is a predicted model, not a curated record. NCBI's taxonomy places the organism in Eukaryota, Viridiplantae, Streptophyta, Magnoliopsida, Fabales, Fabaceae.
GUCUUGUUGCAUGUAGAAGUGAUCGCAAAAGGCGUUUCUUUGGCACAAGAGAGCAUUGGAGAAAUGAUAAAGAAUCAAAAAUUAUGUUCCGCACAUACAAAGGACGGGUACAUAUUUAGAUUAAUAUAUAAUUUGAGGCUUUUUUUUUUAAUAACUAUGUGAUCAACAGAUAAAUCAUAUAUAACUGAAUUAAUAAAAUUUGUAAUAAAAAAUUAAAUGUAUGUGAUAAAUCUCUUUUUGUUUUUAGGAUGAUGUGUUAGUUCCAGAUAUAAUAAUUGCUAAAUAUGGUACCGAGCUGAAACAUGAAAUUGUCCUAAUUGAUCUCUGUGACAAUUGUAUCAAGCUUAAAUUAAAAUAUCAAAAAAAAAA